GAGAAGAUAGAGGCCAUUCGAAGUUACCAACCUCCCACAACCAAGAAACGGAUCUCACAAAAGCCACCGCGCCCAACAAGGUGGUCUGGACAGAGCAGGGUGAGCGAGCCUUCCAGGACCUUCGAGAGGCAGUAUGUGGAGACUGUUCUGCUUAGCACAGAUUUCCAGAAGCCAUUCAUCCUGCAGACGGACGCCUCUGGAGUCAGACUGGGGGCGGUGUUACUACAGGAAGUGGACGGAGAUCGCAGACCGGUGGCAUUCUUGAGUCGUAAACUCUUCCCUCGGGAAACCAGUUAUUCGACAGUGGAACUGGAGUGCUUGGCCAUCAAAUGGGCCACGGAUUCACUACGCCCUACCAGUUUACUGUGAAAUACUGCCCGGGAGCCAGGAACAAGGUGGCUGACUUUAUGUCUCGUAUCCCAGAGGAGGAAAAGGCUAAAAUGGGGCUGUUGACCCCAGCUCUUGGAGGGGUGGAGUAUUGACACUUGGGACGACGGUGG
Molecule: long non-coding RNA, 500 nt
Organism: Gasterosteus aculeatus aculeatus (three-spined stickleback)
Lineage: Eukaryota; Metazoa; Chordata; Actinopteri; Perciformes; Gasterosteidae
Source: Ensembl